GUCUCCUGAGUCUACUGUCUUGACGCAGAGUGUUACCAUUUUGUGCUCGAGGCUUCAGAUGUCUAUGACAGAACUUAUUAUGUGCAGUUUCGACCUCGGUCUCUAUUGGUGCCUCUCCACCUUUUCCUGAAAGUGAAACGGAUUUUAUGAGGGGUUCCCCCCACACUAAAGCCAAAUUAUUUUAUGCCCAUUAGUUGAUUUUUAAGAAAUGUAAGUGACAAUAACAUUCAGUAACUCACUUUGCAAUGCUGAUGAUCAAGCUAGGCUGUAUUUUACUGUCACCAUGCCUGUUGCUCCAGCUAGGCUGUAUUUUACUGUCACCAUGCCUGUUGCUCCUAAGGCCAUAGUAAAUAAAAUACAGUAUAGAGGUGUAAAAAAAAAGGGGGUUAAACAUGGAUAGGGUGUAUGUGAGUCAAUCAGUGUAGUUUCCCUGCACCUGAUGUUUGUGUUUCAGGUGCAGAUGUUUGUUGUCAGACGUUUGUUGUGUGUGCUUUUUGUUAAAACCGUUUUAUGACAAAUGCAAUAUAUCUGCUUGAUGAAAUUACCCAAACCCUCACAAUUCUAUGUGCACAAUAGAAAAUAAAAUAAUUCAGAGAAUAAAAUUAUUAUUAUGUCUGGUUUGAAAUACUCUAAAAUUGACUUAAAUGUCUUUCUUUUGCUGUAUUUAUUUAGUGAGUCAGCAUGUGGAGGGUGAGCUACCAGCAGCUAGUAGUAGCAGCAAUGAAACAGCCUUGCCAGGUAACAGUGCAGUGGAAGAGCAGAGAGAUGCAGCAGCUCCUGAAGUGGCUGAGGAUGUGAGAGUGAGACAGGCAGCAGAAUGUGAGGUAGCCCAGCCGAGCUCUGUACUUGACAGUGACCUUGGCUUCUUCAUAGAUGCAACCAAAUCUAUUGAGGAAAUAGCACAGGCUGUGUGUCAGAUGUCUGAUGGCCAAAAGUACAAUUUGGUGAAAAACCACGUCAGACCUUCGAAACAUUUCAUUUUCCCAACUACAUUUAUUGGUGGGUGCAACAGGGCAUUCAGGUAUGAUUGGUUUGAGGAGCAUGGAUGGUGGCUGGUUUACAGCAUGAAACUCGAUGGCGCUUUCUGCAUAUGCUGUGCUCUCUUUCUCAAUGCCACAGAGAGGAAACAGUCAACUUCACUGAUAAAUGCGCCCUUCAGUAAAUGGCAUAAGAAAACGAAGAUAAUUGGAAGCCACCAAUCGAAAGCAAACCAUUUAGUGGCAUUUGAAAGAGCAAAACUGUUUCGACAGUCACAUGAAAACCCCAAUACCCGGAUAUCAGUCCGUAUGGACAGUGCAAAGGAGACCAACAUCAAAGAGAACAGGCACAUUCUCAAGUGCGUUGCAGAGGCUGUUCUCUACUGUGGCCGUCAAUGCAUUGCACUGAGAGGAUCAGCUGAGCAGCAGCAUUGUAGUGGCAAUCCUGGGAAUUUCUUGGCCCUAUUGAAACUGCUUUCAAAUCACGAUGAAAAGCUGAAGCAGCAUUUGGAGAAACCAAAGCUAAAAAAUGCCACAUAUCUAUCACCUCAAAGCCAAAAUGAAAUGAUUGAUGUAAUAGGGAAGCACAUGAUUCAGGCCAAGAUCGUGGAAGAGGUCAGGCAUGCUCAGAUGUACACAGUCCUAGCUGAUGAGGUCACAUCCCAUAAUGAAGAGCUGAUGCCAAUGUGUGUUCGCUUCGUGGACAAAGACUUAAAUAUCAGAGAGGAGUUGCUUGAGAUUUGUACUUUGCCACGGAUCACAGGUCGCCACAUUGCAAGCGCGAUCAAAGAUGUGCUGAGUCAUCUAAGCAUAGAGAUUGCUGACUGUCGAGGCCAGGGGUACGAUGGCGCCAGCAAUAUGAGCAGCGAAAAUGUUGGCGUUCAAGCUUUGAUAAAAAAGGAUGCGCCUAAGGCAGUUUAUAUGCACUGCAAUGGGCAUUGCUUGAACCUUGUCAUUGCACGCUCUUGUGCUCUUCCAGUUGUGCGCAACAUGAUUGAUAAGAUGAAGUACAUCGUCAUGUUCUUCACCUGCAGCCCGAAGAGGGAACACCUUCUCAAGGAGGUUGUAGAUAAGGAGGCACAUUCUACCGGAAAGCGGAAGCCCCUGAUUGACCUCAGCCGCACAAGAUGGGCAGCACGGCAUGAUGCCUACAGUCACUUCUACAGUGCCUUUGUCUUCAUUAUUAAGGCUCUGGAAGUCAUGGCACAGGGUCUCCAUACAGAGGAGUACAGUGAAGAUGUCACCAGUGGAUGGGAGGGCAAGUACAAAGCAGAGGCCUAUGGUCUCUUGAGUGGGCUACAAAACUUUGGAUUCAUCCUCACAUUCCUCACCGUAUACCAAGUUUUAUCCCACCUGGCGGGCAUCACGGUGAAACUGCAAAGCACCUCACUCGACAUCAUCGAGGCAUUUAGCAUGGUUGAUGAGGUGAAGUCUGUCUACAAGGAGCUCCGCGAGACCAUCGACGACGACUUCAAUCAAAUCUACGAACAAGCAGUUAGGAUGGCUGCUCAGGUCAACGUGGAACCAACCCAGCCGAGAGCAGCUGGAAGGCAGAAACACAGGGAAAAUGUACCCGCUGAAGGAGUGAAGGAGUACUAUCUCCGGAACAUGACGAUACCCUUCUUAGACCAUGUCAUUUCAGAGUUUGAGUCCAGAUUUAGUCCCCUCUCUGUGACCGCAUCAAGGCUCAUGGGCCUAAUUCCAUCUGUCCAGUGCAACUCAGAUGUAACGGUGGACAUCUCUGAAGCAGUCGCUCUGUACCAAGAUGACUUGCCAUCACCAGAGGUCAUUGACCAGGAGCUGAAACGGUGGAAGUUGAAGUGGCAGGUCAAAGCAUUACACCAAAGACCAAGCUCAUGUGCCUCAGCUAUCAAAGAGUGUGAUGAGAUGAUGUAUCCGAACAUCUUCAAACUCCUGAAAAUUGCAUGCACCUUGCCAGUGACCUCCUGCGAAUGUGAGAGGUCUGCCAGUGUUCUCCGGAGACUCAACACAUUCAUGCGGAGCAGCAUGGGAGAGGACCGCAUGUCAUCCUUGGCUCUCAUCCAUACCCACUACGACAUGGCUCUGGAUCUGGAUGAAGCUGUCGAUCUAUACUCAAAAAUGCACCCAAGACGAUUGGAGCUGAUGAGCGUUCUGAUGCAAUAGAAGCCAUAGAAGAAGAAGAGGGAGACAUGGGGGGUGGGUCAUUUCACGUGAAAUCAGACACUUUGGGGCCCAACCGACACAGAUUUUAAUCAAACUUUGUGUGCCUUCUUAGUGGUAAGGUAGAACCCCAGAACUGCAUUUGCAUGAAUCUGGCACUAAUAUAAGGGAGAAAUGGACUAAGAAUGUUUUAAGUAAGAGGGUAGGGCACUACACAUUCAACCUUGAUUAUGUCAAUUUAAAUUACAAAGAGAUGGUUUUGAUGCUGUUUGAAAGCUCUUUUCUGGAACACUUCAAUUUAUAUCAUUAUUAAUUCAUGUUUAAGUUUUAAUGACCAUACCGAUAGUGUACUUCAUGAAGUAAUUCUUAUCUAUUUAUGUCAACAGUGGAGAGAUAGACAAUAAAGGACAGCAACAACAGACAGACAGAACAACAACAGAGACAGACAAUGGAGGGCAGCAACAGACAGGCAAUGGAAGAAAGCAACAGACAACUGAGGAGUACAGAGAACUGAGACUUUCAUCACAUGGAGCAACCAGAACCACCUGAGGCUCCAUGCUGCUGCAGUGUUAUACAGUAUAUAAGCAGUGGCUCAGUAAGUAGCGGCUUGGACUGGGAAUCGUAGGGUCGCCGGUUCAAGUCCCCAAACAGACCUGAAAAUAUUGAAAGUGGACUGCUACUUGGAGAGGUCCCAGUUCACCUCCUCGGCCCUGCUGUGGUGCCCUUGAGCAAGGCACUGGACACCUCCAAUCCCCCCCUCCCCAUUGCUCCCUGGGCGCUGCACAAUAGCUGCCCACUGCUCCUAGUACUAGGAUGGGUUAAAUGCAGAGGACUAAUUUCACUGUGUGCUCUGCUGUGUGCAUGUGUGUGACAAAUAAAGAGGGUUUCAUCCUCCGAUUCUUCAUAUAAAUACAAUUAAUUUGACUUUUAAAUCUAUUUAAUCAUGAUGUAUUGUGAGAAGUAAAGUAUGUGUUCACAUGCUUGGCAAAUAAAGGCAAUUAUGGUAGAACACAAGUUUAACCCCAACACUAGACAGUGUUUAAAUAAUGAUGUUGCUUCAAGUUCUGAACAGUGGGUGCUUCACACACAUCUUCCACUCUGCAGCUCACAGGGUCCUAAAUAUCAGCCCUGCUCGAGGUGGGCACCUGAGACUAGUGUCACUGAUUCAGGAUCUGACCUAGAAGGAAAUGAGCUCACCAUCUCCCCUUCUGAACCGGACUUAUGGUUUUGAAUAAUGACCAGAAAUGUUUUAGCAUUACAUUGUGAUGUCAUAAUGUGUUCCUUUUAGAUAUAAAAUGUCUUCACUUCAUAACAUAUCCUUUAAGAUAUGUGUGUGUUUGAAUCCCUGAGUUACAGCCAAAAACAUGUUUGUGAGGUCACAGUGACUUUGAUCUUUAAAUUCCAGAUUGUGAUCAGGUCAUCCUUCAGUCUAAGCAGA
Molecule: RNA transcript, 4557 nt
Organism: Eleginops maclovinus (Patagonian blennie)
Lineage: Eukaryota; Metazoa; Chordata; Actinopteri; Perciformes; Eleginopidae
Gene name: 52 kDa repressor of the inhibitor of the protein kinase-like
Exons: 2
Source: RefSeq, a predicted model, not a curated record